Molecule: ribosomal RNA, 445 nt
Filed under: uncultured bacterium
Lineage: Bacteria
Description: partial 16S ribosomal RNA
Rfam family: Bacterial small subunit ribosomal RNA
Source: RNAcentral
GUGAGGAAUAUUGGUCAAUGGGCGAGAGCCUGAACCAGCCAAGUCGCGUGAAGGAAGAAGGAUCUAUGGUUCGUAAACUUCUUUUGCAGGGGAAUAAAGUGCGGGACGUGUCCUGUUUUGUAUGUACCCUGAGAAUAAGGAUCGGCUAACUCCGUGCCAGCAGCCGCGGUAAUACGGAGGAUCCGAGCGUUAUCCGGAUUUAUUGGGUUUAAAGGGUGCGUAGGUGGUUUGAUAAGUCAGCGGUGAAAGUUUGCAGCUUAACUGUAAAAAUGCCGUUGAAACUGUCGGACUUGAGUGUAAAUGAGGUAGGCGGAAUGCGUGGUGUAGCGGUGAAAUGCAUAGAUAUCACGCAGAACUCCGAUUGCGAAGGCAGCUUACUAAGCUACAACUGACACUGAAGCACGAAAGCGUGGGGAUCAAACAGGAUUAGAUACCCGGGUAGUCC